GUUUGUUAAACUCACCAUGAGUGAUUAACUCCUUAAAUUCUGAAAUUUAGAAAGCAGCAUUCUUGACUUUUGUUAUGGAUAUAUAUUGAGUUUUAUUUAAUAGAAUUGAGUUUUGUUCUUUGAUUCAAUCUCUUGUGUUCUUAAUGCAUGCUAUGUGUUGGUACCCACCUAGUCAUGAUCUAAGAUACUAGUUGAUGAACUGACAAGUAAAGAUUAAUACUAGAAAAUCAAGACUUUGAACCUAGAAAAUCUGACCUAGAGAUAAGCUGAUAACCUUUGUGGAGUUUUAAAAUUAAUCAUAAAUCUUAAGGGGUUUAUUAGGACUAAUCACCAACGAAAGUCGAGUUUAGCUCUAAUUGGAACACACCUUAGGUGCCUUGAGAAAGGACCUAGGAUAUUUUAAGAUUAAUUUCCAUCAAAGUGAUGAUCCUCAAUCUAAUGAAUAGACGAGAUUAAAAUCCAUAAUAAGAUUACAGUGUGAAAUCUUAAUUCUGGAAUAAUAGAUAGUUUUAUUCAAAAUUUAUUUUCAGCAUCGAAAAUAGAUUUGAUUCACCCUCCAUCUAUAUUCAGCAGCCUAAACAGUCAGAAUUGCUGUGUAGCUUGGUACUUGCUA
This 613-nucleotide unclassified non-coding RNA is filed under the name Hevea brasiliensis (rubber tree). Lineage: Eukaryota; Viridiplantae; Streptophyta; Magnoliopsida; Malpighiales; Euphorbiaceae. The record is from RNAcentral.